Molecule: transfer RNA, 81 nt
Filed under: Zelopaecilomyces penicillatus
Lineage: Eukaryota; Fungi; Ascomycota; Sordariomycetes; Hypocreales; Pseudodiploosporaceae
Description: Paecilomyces penicillatus tRNA-Leu
Source: RNAcentral
GCAGGUGUGCUGGAAUGGCAGACAGACUUCGUUUAGGCCGGAGGGGUUAACACCGUGCAAGUUCAAGUCUUGCUACCUGUA